Molecule: ribosomal RNA, 255 nt
Filed under: uncultured bacterium
Lineage: Bacteria
Description: partial 16S ribosomal RNA
Rfam family: Bacterial small subunit ribosomal RNA
Source: RNAcentral
UACGGGGGGGGGCAAGCGUUUGUUCGGAAUUACUGGGCGUAAAGGGCUCGUAGGCGCCAACUAAGUCAGACGUGAAAUCCCUCGGCUUAACCGGGGAACUGCGUCUGAUACUGGUUGGCUUGAGUGUGGGAGAGGGAUGCGGAAUUCCAGGUGUAGCGGUGAAAUGCGUAGAUAUCUGGAGGAACACCGGUGGCGAAGGCGGCAUCCUGGACCAUUACUGACGCUGAGGAGCGAAAGCCAGGGGAGCAAACGGGG